RNAcentral lists this ribosomal RNA (497 nucleotides) under uncultured bacterium. RNAcentral describes it as "partial 16S ribosomal RNA". It matches the Rfam family "Bacterial small subunit ribosomal RNA", at positions 28 to 507 of the family's 1533-position model. The record is from RNAcentral.
GAUGAACGCUGGCGGCGUGCCUAAUACAUGCAAGUCGAGCGAACGGACGAGAAGCUUGCAUCUCUGAUGUUAGCGGCGGACGGGUGAGUAACACGUGGAUAACCUACCUAUAAGACUGGGAUAACUUCGGGAAACCGUAGCUAAUACCGGAUAAUAUUUUGAACCGCAUGGUUCAAAAGUGAAAGACGGUCUUGCUGUCACUUAUAGAUGGAUCCGCGCUGCAUUAGCUAGUUGGUAAGGUAACGGCUUACCAAGGCAACGAUGCAUAGCCGACCUGAGAGGGUGAUCGGCCACACUGGAACUGAGACACGGUCCAGACUCCUACGGGAGGCAGCAGUAGGGAAUCUUCCGCAAUGGGCGAAAGCCUGACGGAGCAACGCCGCGUGAGUGAUGAAGGUCUUCGGAUCGUAAAACUCUGUUAUUAGGGAAGAACAUAUGUGUAAGUAACUGUGCACAUCUUGACGGUACCUAAUCAGAAAGCCACGGCUAACUACGUG